UAGGUACUAGUAAAAAUUACACAACUUUGUCAAAGUUAAGUUAUAGGUUAAACCCCUAUAUACCUCU
Molecule: transfer RNA, 67 nt
Filed under: Equus asinus (donkey)
Lineage: Eukaryota; Metazoa; Chordata; Mammalia; Perissodactyla; Equidae
Also listed under: 1 other name
Rfam family: tRNA
About the family: Transfer RNA (tRNA) molecules are approximately 80 nucleotides in length. Their secondary structure includes four short double-helical elements and three loops (D, anti-codon, and T loops).
Source: Rfam by way of RNAcentral